This 317-nucleotide ribosomal RNA is filed under the name uncultured Boletales. Its description in RNAcentral is "SSU rRNA". It matches the Rfam family "Eukaryotic small subunit ribosomal RNA", at positions 790 to 1104 of the family's 1831-position model. Lineage: Eukaryota; Fungi; Basidiomycota; Agaricomycetes; Boletales. The record is from RNAcentral.
UGUGCCCGUAUACAUUAGCAUGGAAUAAUGAAAUAGGACGUGUGGUUCUAUUUUGUUGGUUUCUAGAGUCGCCGUAAUGAUUAAUAGGGACAGUUGGGGGCAUUAGUAUUCAGUUGCUAGAGGUGAAAUUCUUGGAUUUACUGAAGACUAACUACUGCGAAAGCAUUUGCCAAGGAUGUUUUCAUUAAUCAAGAACGAAGGUUAGGGGAUCGAAAACGAUCAAUACCGUUGUAGUCUUAACAGUAAACUAUGCCGACUAGGGAUCGGGCGUACCUCUUUUUGAUGCGUCGUUCGGCGCCUUACGGGAAACAAUCACU